RNAcentral lists this ribosomal RNA (253 nucleotides) under uncultured bacterium. Its description in RNAcentral is "partial 16S ribosomal RNA". It matches the Rfam family "Bacterial small subunit ribosomal RNA", at positions 524 to 776 of the family's 1533-position model. The record is from RNAcentral.
UACGGAGGGUGCAAGCGUUAUCCGGAUUCACUGGGUUUAAAGGGUGCGUAGGCGGGUAGGUAAGUCAGUGGUGAAAUCCCCGAGCUCAACUUGGGAACUGCCGUUGAUACUAUCUAUCUUGAAUGUUGUGGAGGUGAGCGGAAUAUGUCAUGUAGCGGUGAAAUGCUUAGAUAUGACAUAGAACACCAAUUGCGAAGGCAGCUCGCUACACAAUUAUUGACGCUGAGGCACGAAAGCGUGGGGAUCAAACAGG